AAGAGUUUGGCUGUUGAAAUCAAAAUCAAAAAAAAAAAAAAUCUAGUUGAGAUUAAACAAAACGUCAGGCCAAGCGAAGCAGCCGCUGGAGGCCAUGCCGGCAGAGCAAUUCACGUUAACUUUACAACCCCAUAAAUCCAUCGAAACCUACUCUCGCUUAUCUAACCCCCAAUUCAAUUCAGACCUGCACAAUUUAAUCCCGUACCGGCUAAACAUAUUUAUAGCCCAUUAAUUAACAUCUUACCUUCCGAAGAUGGAGUAAAACAUCCUUCCAGCUUUACCCCUCCAAGUAUCAAUCUUCUUCAUCUCCCAUCCCUCGUCUCCUUUCUCCCCCUAUAUAUAAUACAAGAAAU
RNAcentral lists this long non-coding RNA (353 nucleotides) under Phoenix dactylifera (date palm). RNAcentral's name for it is "long non-coding RNA (PDAC_LNC006949)". The record is from RNAcentral. Lineage: Eukaryota; Viridiplantae; Streptophyta; Magnoliopsida; Arecales; Arecaceae.